CGGUCCAGACUCCUACGGGAGGCAGCAGUAGGGAAUCUUCCGCAAUGGGCGAAAGCCUGACGGAGCAACGCCGCGUGAGUGAUGAAGGUCUUCGGAUCGUAAAACUCUGUUAUUAGGGAAGAACAUAUGUGUAAGUAACUGUGCACAUCUUGACGGUACCUAAUCAAAAGCCACGGCUAACUACGUGCCAGCAGCCGCGGUAA
This 203-nucleotide ribosomal RNA is filed under the name Staphylococcus aureus. RNAcentral describes it as "partial 16S ribosomal RNA". It matches the Rfam family "Bacterial small subunit ribosomal RNA", at positions 327 to 523 of the family's 1533-position model. The record is from RNAcentral. Lineage: Bacteria; Bacillati; Bacillota; Bacilli; Caryophanales; Staphylococcaceae.